UACGUAGGGUCCGAGCGUUGUCCGGAAUUAUUGGGCGUAAAGGGCGCGUAGGCGGCCCGCGCAAGCGUGCGGUGAAAGCCCGGGGCUCAACCCCGGGUCGGCCGUGCGGACUGCGGGGCUCGAGCACUGUAGGGGCAGAUGGAAUUCCGGGUGUAGCGGUGGAAUGCGUAGAGAUCCGGAAGAACACCGGUGGCGAAGGCGGUCUGCUGGGCAGUAGCUGACGCUGAGGCGCGACAGCGUGGGGAGCAAACAGG
RNAcentral lists this ribosomal RNA (254 nucleotides) under uncultured bacterium. Its description in RNAcentral is "partial 16S ribosomal RNA". It matches the Rfam family "Bacterial small subunit ribosomal RNA", at positions 524 to 776 of the family's 1533-position model. The record is from RNAcentral.